CCUACGGGAGGCAGCAGUCGAGAAUCAUUCACAAUGGGGGAAACCCUGAUGGUGCGACGCCGCGUGGGGGAAUGAAGGUCUUCGGAUUGUAAACCCCUGUCAUGUGGGAGCAAAUUAAAAAGAUAGUACCACAAGAGGAAGAGACGGUUAACUCUGUGCCAGCAGCCGCGGUAAUACAGCGGUCUCAAGCGUUGUUCGGAAUCACUGGGCUUAAAGCGUGCGGAGGCGGUUUCGUAAGUCGGGUGUGAAAGGCGCGGGCUCAACCCGCGGAGGGCACAUGAUAAUGCGAGACUAGAGUAGUGGAGGGGGAAGCGGAAUUCUCGGUGUAGCAGUGAAAUGCGUAGAUAUCGAGAGGAACACUCGUGGCGAAGGCGGGUUCCUGGACAUUAACUGACGCUGAGGCACGAAGGCCAGGGGAGCGAAAGGGAUUAGAUACCCGGGUAGUC
RNAcentral lists this ribosomal RNA (446 nucleotides) under uncultured bacterium. RNAcentral's name for it is "partial 16S ribosomal RNA". It matches the Rfam family "Bacterial small subunit ribosomal RNA", at positions 338 to 795 of the family's 1533-position model. The record is from RNAcentral.